CCCUGCCUACGGGGCGCAGCAGUAGGGAAUCUUCCACAAUGGGCGAAAGCCUGAUGGAGCAACGCCGCGUGGGUGAAGAAGGUCUUCGGAUCGUAAAACCCUGUUGUUAGAGAAGAAAGUGCGUGAGGGUAACUAUUCACGUUUCGACGGUAUCUAACCAGAAAGCCACGGCUAACUACGUGCCAGCAGCCGCGGUAAUACGUAGGUGGCAAGCGUUACCCGGAUUUAUUGGGCGUAAAGGGAACGCAGGCGGUCUUUUAAGUCUGAUGUGAAAGCCUUCGGCUUAACCGGAGUAGGGCAUUGGA
This 305-nucleotide ribosomal RNA is filed under the name uncultured bacterium. RNAcentral's name for it is "bacterial SSU rRNA". It matches the Rfam family "Bacterial small subunit ribosomal RNA", at positions 330 to 630 of the family's 1533-position model. The record is from RNAcentral.